This 655-nucleotide ribosomal RNA is filed under the name uncultured Gammaproteobacteria bacterium. Its description in RNAcentral is "bacterial SSU rRNA". It matches the Rfam family "Bacterial small subunit ribosomal RNA", at positions 79 to 731 of the family's 1533-position model. Lineage: Bacteria; Pseudomonadati; Pseudomonadota; Gammaproteobacteria. The record is from RNAcentral.
GCUAGAUGAUGACGAGCGGCGGACGGGUGAGUAAUACUUGGGGAUCUGCCUGAUGGCGGGGGACAACCACUGGAAACGGUGGCUAAUACCGCAUAAUACCUACGGGUCAAAGUGUGGGACCUUCGGGCCACACGCCAUUAGAUGAACCCAAGCGAGAUUAGCUAGUUGGUGGGGUAAAGGCUCACCAAGGCGACGAUCUCUAGCUGUUCUGAGAGGAUGAUCAGCCACACUGGGACUGAGACACGGCCCAGACUCCUACGGGAGGCAGCAGUGGGGAAUAUUGGACAAUGGGCGCAAGCCUGAUCCAGCCAUGCCGCGUGUGUGAAGAAGGCCUUCGGGUUGUAAAGCACUUUCAGUGGUGAGGAAGGGGUGCUAGUUAAUAGCUAGCAUCAUUGACGUUAGCCACAGAAGAAGCACCGGCUAACUCCGUGCCAGCAGCCGCGGUAAUACGGAGGGUGCGAGCGUUAAUCGGAAUUACUGGGCGUAAAGCGCACGUAGGCGGUUUGUUAAGCAAGAUGUGAAAGCCCAGGGCUCAACCUUGGAAUUGCAUUUUGAACUGGCAAGCUAGAGUUUUGAAGAGGGUGGUAGAAUUUCCAGUGUAGCGGUGAAAUGCGUAGAUAUUGGAAGGAAUACCAGUGGCGAAGGCGGCCACCUG